GAUGAACGCUGGCGGUAUGCUUAACACAUGCAAGUCGAACGGACUCUUCGGAGUUAGUGGCGGACGGGUGAGUAACGCGUGAGAAUCUGGCUUUGGGUUCGGGACAACCACUGGAAACGGUGGCUAAUACCGGAUGUGCCGAGAGGUAAAAGAGAAAUUGCCUGAAGAUGAGCUCGCGUCUGAUUAGCUAGUUGGUGAGGUAAAGGCUCACCAAGGCAGCGAUCAGUAGCUGGUCUGAGAGGAUGACCAGCCACACUGGGACUGAGACACGGCCCAGACUCCUACGGGAGGAAGCAGUGGGGAAUUUUCCGCAAUGGGCGAAAGCCUGACGGAGCAAUACCGCGUGAGGGAAGAAGGCUCUUGGGUUGUAAACCUCUUUUCUUAGGGAAGAACAAAAUGACGGUACCUAAGGAAUCAGCAUCGGCUAACUACGUG
RNAcentral lists this ribosomal RNA (435 nucleotides) under uncultured bacterium. RNAcentral describes it as "partial 16S ribosomal RNA". It matches the Rfam family "Bacterial small subunit ribosomal RNA", at positions 28 to 507 of the family's 1533-position model. The record is from RNAcentral.